RNAcentral lists this ribosomal RNA (1482 nucleotides) under uncultured organism. Its description in RNAcentral is "bacterial SSU rRNA". It matches the Rfam family "Bacterial small subunit ribosomal RNA". The record is from RNAcentral.
AGAGUUUGAUCCUGGCUCAGGAUGAACGCUAGCGGCAGGCUUAACACAUGCAAGUCGAGGGGUAAGGUCCGCCUUUGGCGGACACACGACCGGCGCACGGGUGAGUAACGCGUAUGCAACCUGCCUCUUACUGGAGAAUAGCUCCCGGAAACGGGGAUUAAUGCUCCAUGACCCUGCAGCCUCGCAUGAGGCAGCAGGUAAAGCUCCGGCGGUAAGAGAUGGGCAUGCGUGUCAUUAGUUUGUUGGUGAGGUAACGGCUCACCAAGGCCACGAUGACUAGGGGGUCUGAAAGGAUGAUCCCCCACACUGGUACUGAGACACGGACCAGACUCCUACGGGAGGCAGCAGUGAGGAAUAUUGCGCAAUGGAGGAAACUCUGACGCAGCCAUGCCGCGUGCAGGAGGACGGCCCUAUGGGUUGUAAACUGCUUUUCUUGACUAAGAACCAUAGAUACUUGUAUUUAUCUGACUAGUCUUGGAAUAAGCAUCGGCUAACUCCGUGCCAGCAGCCGCGGUAAUACGGAGGAUGCAAGCGUUAUCCGGAUUCACUAGGUUUAAAGGGUGUGUAGGCGGAAUUGUAAGUCAGUGGUGAAAGCUUGCGGCUUAACCGUAAAAUUGCUAUUGAUACUGCAGUUCUUGAGUUCGGCUGAGGUAGGCGGAAUGAGUAAUGUAGCGGUGAAAUGCUUAGAUAUUACUCAGAACACCGAUUGCGUAGGCAGCUUACCAAACCGACACUGACGCUGAGGCACGAAAGCGUGGGGAGCGAACAGGAUUAGAUACCCUGGUAGUCCACGCCGUAAACUUUGAUUACUCGUUGUUGGCAAUACACCGUCAGCGACUGAGCGAAAGCAUUAAGUAAUCCACCUGGGGAGUACGUCAGCAAUGAUGAAACUCAAAGGAAUUGACGGGGGCCCGCACAAGCGGAGGAACAUGUGGUUUAAUUCGAUGAUACGCGAGGAACCUUACCUGGGCUUAAAUGUAGAGUGCAUAGAGUGGAAACACUCUUUUCCUUCGGGACCCUUUACAAGGUGCUGCAUGGUUGUCGUCAGCUCGUGCCGUGAGGUGUCGGGUUAAGUCCCAUAACGAGCGCAACCCUCAUCGCCAGUUGCCAUCACAUAAUGGUGGGGACUCUGGUGAAACUGCCGGUGCAAACCGCGAGGAAGGUGAGGAUGACGUCAAAUCAGCACGGCCCUUAUGUCCAGGGCUACACACGUGUUACAAUGGUCGGUACAACGGGCAGCUACCACGCAAGUGGAUGCUAACCCCCAAAACCGAUCUUAGUUCGGAUCGGAGUCUGCAACCCGACUCCGUGAAGCUGGAUUCGCUAGUAAUCGCAGAUCAGCCAUGCUGCGGUGAAUACGUUCCCGGGCCUUGUACACACCGCCCGUCAAGCCAUGGAAGCUGGGGGUGCCUGAAGUCCGUAACCGUAAGGAGCGGCCUAGGGUAAAACCGGUAACUGGGGCUAAGUCGUAACAAGGUAACC